UGGCUCAGGACGAACGCUGGCGGCGCGCCUAAUACAUGCAAGUCGAGCGAGAACCAAGACUUCGGUCCUGGGGAGAGCGGCGAACGGGUGCGUAUCACGUGAGCAACCUGCCUCGGAGACCGGAAUAACUCGAGGAAACUCGGGCUAAUGCCGGAUGCCCUCGGUGGACCGCAUGGUCCGGCGAGGAAAUGGAUUCCGCUCCGAGAUGGGCUCGCGGCCUAUCAGCUUGUUGGUGGGGUAACGGCCUACCAAGGCAACGACGGGUAGCUGGUCUGAGAGGACGAUCAGCCACACUGGGACUGAGACACGGCCCAGACUCCUACGGGAGGCAGCAGUAGGGAAUCUUGCGCAAUGGGGGAAACCCUGACGCAGCGACGCCGCGUGCGGGAUGAAGGCCUUCGGGUCGUAAACCGCUUUCAGCAGGGACGAAAUUGACGGUACCUGCAGAAGAAGGCCCGGCCAACUACGUGCCAGCAGCCGCGGUGAUACGUAGGGGUCUAGCGUUGUCCGGAAUUAUUGGGCGUAAAGAGCUCGUAGGCGGUUCGGCAAGUCGGAUGUGAAAUCUCCACGCUUAACGUGGAGGGGCCAUUCGAAACUGCCGUGACUCGAGUCCGGUAGGGGAGUUCGGAAUUCCCGGUGUAGCGGUGAAAUGCGCAGAUAUCGGGAGGAACACCAGUGGCGAAGGCGGAACUCUGGGCCGGAACUGACGCUGAGGAGCGAAAGCGUGGGGAGCGAACAGGAUUAGAUACCCUGGUAGUCCACGCCGUAAACGUUGGGCACUAGGUGUGGGGUUCUAUCGACGGAUUCCGUGCCGUAGCUAACGCAUUAAGUGCCCCGCCUGGGGAGUACGGCCCGCAGGCUAAAACUCAAAG
Molecule: ribosomal RNA, 872 nt
Filed under: uncultured bacterium
Lineage: Bacteria
Description: bacterial SSU rRNA
Rfam family: Bacterial small subunit ribosomal RNA
Source: RNAcentral